Molecule: ribosomal RNA, 492 nt
Filed under: uncultured bacterium
Lineage: Bacteria
Description: partial 16S ribosomal RNA
Rfam family: Bacterial small subunit ribosomal RNA
Source: RNAcentral
AGUGAACGCUGGCGGUAGGCCUAACACAUGCAAGUCGAACGGCAGCACAGUAAGAGCUUGCUCUUACGGGUGGCGAGUGGCGGACGGGUGAGGAAUACAUCGGCAUCUACUUUUUCGUGGGGGAUAACGUAGGGACACUUACGCUAAUACCGCAUACGACCUACGGGUGAAAGCAGGGGAUCUUCGGACCUUGCGCGAUUGAAUGAGCCGAUGUCGGAUUAGCUAGUUGGCGGGGUAAAGGCCCACCAAGGCGACGAUCCGUAGCUGGUCUGAGAGGAUGAUCAGCCACACUGGAACUGAGACACGGUCCAGACUCCUACGGGAGGCAGCAGUAGGGAAUAUUGGACAAUGGGCGCAAGCCUGAUCCAGCCAUACCGCGUGGGUGAAGAAGGCCUUCGGGUUGUAAAGCCCUUUUGUUGGGAAAGAAAAGCAGCAGGUUAAUACCCCGCUGUUCUGACGGUACCCAAAGAAUAAGCACCGGCUAACUUCGUG